AUACGGAGGAAGCAAGCGUUAUUCGGAAUCACUGGGCGUAAAGGACGCGUAGGCGGGUUUGUAAGUCAGGUGUGAAAUCCUACAGCUCAACUGUAGAACUGCACUUGAAACUACAGACCUAGAGUAUGGAAGGGGCAGAUGGAAUUAGUGGUGUAGGGGUAAAAUCCGUAGAUAUCACUAGGAAUACCGAAAGCGAAGGCGAUCUGCUGGGACAUUACUGACGCUGAGGCGUGAAAGCGUGGGGAGCAAACAGGAUUAGAAACCCUAGUAGUCC
RNAcentral lists this ribosomal RNA (274 nucleotides) under uncultured bacterium. RNAcentral describes it as "partial 16S ribosomal RNA". It matches the Rfam family "Bacterial small subunit ribosomal RNA", at positions 523 to 796 of the family's 1533-position model. The record is from RNAcentral.